AAUAUAUAGUAAUAGGAAUAUUACUACCUAUACCUAUUCAAUAUAAUUCUAAUAACUUGUCUAACUUCAUCUAUGUAUUUAAAUCAAUUCACAGUUGUAAGAAAAAUUCACUUCAUUUUGACAUAUUAUUGUCUUUGUUUGAAAUUUUUUAUAAAAUGGAUUUCAAGCGCAAUAAAGAACAUCAUCUGAUAAUGAUAACGAUGAUUGUAAUGAAAAAAAGUUAAAAACCAGGGAUACCGUAGUUCGGAUUUUAUUUAAUCACAAUUGAAUAGAUAUGGAAAAUCUGCAAUUCGAUCAUAGAAUCAAAUGCAUAAUAAGAAUAGCAAACAGGAUAAUUUAUAGGUGUUAAAAAACUAAGUUCGUACAGACGAGUAUUAUUAUAGAUGAUCAUUAUGGAAGACGUCCCGUCUACAAUGAAGACCUUUAACUGAGAAUACGUUAAAAAUAAUUUGAAUGAUAAUAUUUUAUAUUAUAUUUUAAUUUUUGUUUGUAUAUUAACCAAAUUCAUUUUAAUUAUAAUUAUCAUUUGAACUCUAUACAUAGCUUCGCUAUAAUUAUUAUUACUGAACGUUUUAACUAAUUAUUAAAUGCUGAACAUUAUAUAAAUAAAUGAUUAA
Aphis gossypii (cotton aphid) is the source of this 617-nucleotide long non-coding RNA. RefSeq lists it as uncharacterized. Lineage: Eukaryota; Metazoa; Arthropoda; Insecta; Hemiptera; Aphididae. The record is from RefSeq and is a predicted model, not a curated record. The transcript is spliced from 3 exons.